RNAcentral lists this ribosomal RNA (250 nucleotides) under uncultured bacterium. Its description in RNAcentral is "partial 16S ribosomal RNA". It matches the Rfam family "Bacterial small subunit ribosomal RNA", at positions 524 to 773 of the family's 1533-position model. The record is from RNAcentral.
UACGUAGGGGGCAAGCGUUGUCCGGAAUGACUGGGCGUAAAGGGAGCGUAGGCGGCUUCUUAAGUUAUGUGUGAAAGCCCGGGGCUUAACUCCGGAAUUGCACAUAAAACUGGGAGGCUGGAGUGCGGGAGAGGAAAGCGGAAUUCCUAGUGUAGCGGUGGAAUGCGUAGAUAUUAGGAGGAACACCAGAGGCGAAGGCGGCUUUCUGGACCGUAACUGACGCUGAGGCUCGAAAGCGUGGGGAGCAAAC